Long non-coding RNA from Dioscorea cayenensis subsp. rotundata (Guinea yam), 4993 nucleotides. RefSeq lists it as uncharacterized. The transcript has 3 exons. The record is from RefSeq and is a predicted model, not a curated record. Lineage: Eukaryota; Viridiplantae; Streptophyta; Magnoliopsida; Dioscoreales; Dioscoreaceae.
AAUCUUAUAACCUUCCUUGGUUAAUUGCAAGUGAUUUCAAUGCUAUAGUUGUUGAUAAUGAGCAUCAUGGGGGUCGGUUUGAUCAUUAUGCUUGGAAAUCCCAUUAUUUUAUGAAUUUCAUCUCUAGAAAUCAUUUGUUUAACCUUGUUUUCUCUGACCCCAUCCAUACAUGGUGCAGUGGCCAAACUUGUCUAGGGAGAAGACUGGCCAAGUUAGAUAUGUGGCUUGCAAACAUUGAUUGGAUUUCUAAUUUUACUUAUUACUCUAAUAAACACUUAUCUUGAAUUAUAUCUGAUCAUGCCCCCUUGUUCUUGGUUGCAAAUUUUUACAUUUAUAGAAAAAACAAAGGUGUUUAAAUUCGAUAAUUAUUGAUUGGAGUAUAAUGUUUAUCGUGUCUCUGUUGCUAAGGCUUGGAAUUUAUCUUGUAAUACCUCCCUUUUCAUGCUUUUUCACAUUGUGUCUGUAAGACCAAACAGAACCUCAUAAGUUGGACGACAUCUGGUUUGACUUCUCUAGUGUAUGAUAUUAGGAAUACUGAAGAAGAGAUCAGUGCUUUAGAGAAUAUUGAGUGUUCAGCUGGCCUUAAUCUCUCCCAACUUAAUACCCUUCAUUCCCUUCAGAACAGAUAUGCAACCCACCUUAAACAAAGCUCCAUCAAAUGGGUUGACAGGGCUAAGCUCUUAUGGCUUAACAAUGGGGAUGCCAACUCAAUCUUUUUUCACAAAGCUGCUCAUAUUCAUAAUCAUCACAAUAUAAUUUUCUCUUUGAAUGACUUUUGGGUUUUCUUUGCUCUCAGCAACAGGAUAUUGAAAAUUGUUUCAUUAAUUUUAACUCCAACGUUUGGAACUCUAAAAGUGCUUUUUCUGGAAGUGAUAUUCUUAGAGCCCUUCCUAUUGAUCAUAACAUGCUUUCUAUUGAGGAUCACCAGGCCCUUACUAAACCUGUGACCAAGAGGAAAGUUUAUUGCACUAUUAGGGCUAUGGGUGAAGGUAAAAGUCCCAGACUCGAUGGUCUCAAUGUGGAAUUUUAUUUACAUCAUUGGGAUUUAAUUGGGACUCAUCUGUUUAAAGCCAUUGAUUAUUUCCUUUGGCAUGCUUCUCUUCCUAAUUCUUAGGUAAGAUGUACAUAGUGUUGACCCCUAAGAUUAAUAAUCCCAAUAAAAUUAGUGAUUUUAGGUCUAUUUCUUUCGGCAAUGUCUGUUAUAAAGUUAUUUCGAAACUUCUUUCCAAUUGGCUUAAAUUGAUCAUCCACAAACUUAUUGGCAAAGAACAAAGUGGUUUCUUGGCCACUAAGUCUACCGUGGAUAACAUUUUGGUUAUGCAAGAAGUGGCUCACUUCCGUGAAAAUGAUACCGAUAGUCCCUUUAGGAUGAUAUUUAAAGUUGAGAUUGAGAAUGCUUAUGAUACCCUUGAGUGGAACGUUAUUCUUGCCACCCUUAGGUCUAUGAACUUUCCCAAAAUUUGGAUUUUUUGGGUCAAGGCUUGUUUAUCCUUGGCUAGCUUGUCUUUUAUUAUAAACGGUCAACCUAGCAAGUGGAUGAAAGCUAGUAGAAGGGUCAGACAAGGGGAUCCUCUAUCACCCUAUCUCUUUAUUUUGGUUUCGCAAAAUUUAAUAGCUAUCAUGAACCAUGCUCUUCAUUUGAAAAGGAUUUUGGGUUUGAUGAUUGUUUAGAGAUUAAUUUCAAUCAUUUGCUCUUUGCCGAUGACCUUUUAAUUAUCACUAAAGCUAUUAGAUCUGCUGCCAGGUUCUGCAGAUUUUGCCUAGAUAUGUAUCGAGACUUCUUGGGUCAAGCUCCUAAUCUUUCUAAAUCCACCUUCCCUGUCCUUUCUUGGUGUAAUAAAAAAUUCUGUAGUGCUAAUGGUAGAAUUCUAGGUAUGAACCUGGGAAGCUUUCCUUUUGAGUACCUUGGAGCUUACAUUUCUUCCAACAGGUUGACUACUAGACAAUCUCAAUUUCUAGUGGAUAGAGUUAAUAAGGCAACCAAUGCCUGGAAUCAUGAAGCUAUCUCUCAAGCUGGUAGGCUUGUACUGAUUAACUCUUCUCUCUUGAGCAUCCCCAUUUAUCAGCUAUCAUGCUAUUUCAUUCCUAAUGGCUGAUUGAUAAGUAAUUAAUUAUAAUAUAUUUUUAUUAGAUUUAGGUUUCAUUUCUUAGUUGAUCAUGCAUCUUUCUCCAUGUUUCUAGUUCAAUUUCACUCUUUUAGUUCAAGUUACUGUUCUUCUUCAUUAGUUUACAUGUAGAUAAGUGGAAUUUGGCCUUUAUUUGAAAUGCGGGCGAUCUAUGGUAGAUAUUACACCUAUGGAUCGUGGUGUAGAAAUUUAAAAGACUUAAACCCUAGAAAAAGCCCAACCCACUCAUGCCAGCUAACAUAGCCGUGGAUCUUUGCCUCCAUCACAACCCUAAUUUAACCCUCCUCUAUAUAAAGCCAAGAAAAAGAAUUUCAAGGCAUGUUUGGGCUAUGAGAACAAGGAGACGAUUUUUCUAAGGGUUGAAGAUCAUCUAAAGCUAUUAAAGAGGAGAAAGAAGACAAAGAUCAAGGGAGAGAUUCAUCGAUUUACAAGAACAUCACGCGUGAAGGAUUAAGAAUUUCUUCUUUCUUAUUCUUUGAUUUAUUCCAUGUUUAGAUCUAUGAUGGAUAUGAACCUUUUAGCUUAUAAAUUGAACAUGAGUGAGUAGAUCUUUUGUUCUAGGAUUGAGAUUAGCCCAAUGUUUAGAUAAAUGACUAUGUAUUGACUUUUAUUAUUUAUAAAUGUUUAUUUGCUUUUGAUUCAAUUUUAUGGUACUUAAUGCUUGUGAAUGGGUUGGACCCCUUAUAUUUGCAUGAUUUUAGAUGCUAAAGGAAGAACCGAAAGGUGAACUAAGGAGUUGGAACCCUAGAAUUGAACUUGAAGUCCUAGAUUAUGAUUUCUUGAGGAUUAAUGGAUGCCAUAGAACUUAAAGGAUCUAAUUAGAUUCAAUUACCACGAAAGUAGGAAUUGUUCUAAGUUAGAUACCGCGUUAUAUUCUGAAAGGAAAUAGUGAGUAUCCUAGGGUAUACCACUUUCAAAGCAAUUAAACUUAACCAAGAAAGAGUCAAUACAAAGUAUUUUAUCUAUUAUUGUGGUGAACUUCAAUACGAGAAGCCUCUGCAAUUUGAAUUAAUCAUCUCAGCCAUUAGUAGCCUUAAUUUUGUUAGUUUUAGUUUUCAUUGCUUAUUAUUUCUACAAUUCACAUACCUAGCGAUUCGUCUAAAUAACUCUAAUUGCAAGAAAUUGGUAAUUAGCAACAAAGUCCUUGUGGGGACGAUAUUUAUUUACUACUUGAACGACCCGUGCGUUUGUAGUACGCAUCACUAAUACUUUUCGAAAAAUUGCUAGGGUUCAUUUAUGGGCCAAGGGUGGCAAUAGAAGUAACUUCCACUCAUUUUCCUGGAACAAUACUACCCUUUCUAAGUUUGAGGGGGGCUUGGGUGUUAGAGAUUUAAGGAAUGGCAAGGUUGCUCUAAUGACCAAACACUUUUUUGAUCUUUUAAAUUCUGCAGACAAAUUGUGGGUUUCUAUUUUCAUAGCCAAGUAUGGUGAUUUCAGGAUUUGGAAUAUCUCUUGCCUGUAGAAAGCUUCCUGGCUUUACAAAUCUCUUUGCCAAAUUGCUGCCACUCUUAAGCCAAAUUUGUGGAUAAACAUGAGUAAUCCAAGGGACAUCAAUCUUUUGGGAGACCCUUGGUGUCUUGAUCUUCCAAUUUCUUACAAGCCCACCUAUGUCAACAUGUGUCUUCCUAUUGAAUCCCUUUCUUUCCAAGAUUUUAUCAAUGGUCAGGCCUUCAAUAUUGAAGCUAUUUAACAUCUUCUCGGAAGCCAGAUUGAUAUGAGCAGAAAUUCUAAAAUUAAUUGGAAUCACUCUGGUCCCAAACAUUGGGUCUGGUUCCCAGUAGCUGGUAAAAUUGCUCAAGUGGUGUAUAGCCACCUCAAUCAUCAGAAAGUUUCUAAUCAGAAUUGGACAGGGUGGCAAUUGCUAUGGAAGCUUAAAGUUGCACCUAGAGUGAAACUUUUUCUAUGAAAACUAUUCCCUGGAAAAGUACCUUUUUAUGCUUUCUUAUAUGCCUUAGGCAUUGGUCCUGCUUUGGAAUGCCCCUUCUGUAAGUUGAUACCUGAAACCACUGAACACAUCAUCUGGGAGUGUCCUAAGUCCAGGAUCAGCUGGAACAGGUGUUAAUCUGGCUUAUGAACAGAUUUCGUACUGAAAUUGGAGACUCUUCUUUUAAAGCUCUGUUGGCUUCAUGUGCAUGGGCCAUAUGGACAGCUAGGUGCAACUACAUUUUUAGAAGAACCAAACCAGACUCCCUCAAAAUCUUUCAUCAAGGUCUGCAAUAUGCAAUGGAUUACUAUAUGGGCUGUUCCAGUAAUCCCAUGGAGCUUAACAUUCAAGAUCUUUCUUGACGGAGUGUACAAGUUCUUUGUGAUGCAUCCUGGGAUAGCAAAACAGGUAAAUUUUGCAAUAAUAACUUGUAUGAACCAUUCAAUUUUGGCAGGGUUUAUGUCUCUGGAGACCCAGUCAAGUAUUAGUUCUGAGACGGCAGUGCUGAUGUUUGCUUUAGAUCAAUGCUCAGCCAGAAGAUUGAAGGUAGAUACCAUGUAAACAGACUGUGCUAGUCUAGUUGAACUUCUGUAUCAGAGAGAUGAUAGAGGAUUAAUUGGUGGUUGGAGGAGACUCUUAACGAUAUCAAGAUAAGUUGCUUCGAUUCCCACUAGUUUCAGUUGAGGUGAUCCCAAGAGAUGGCAAUGGUUUUGCUGAUUUUCUCGCCAAUUGACAUCCCGGCGUUUCCCUCUUCCGUGAAGGCCUUGAUCUUCCCAGGAAAACUGAGCCUGUGUUGCAGUUAAUACCUUCAAAUAUGGGCCACAUGCAUGAUAUUAAGCGGGAGGACCACACAAACACAACGGUCCUGACUGAAAACCAUGUGUGACCAGCAUUUCAGCCAAGCCAAUAAUCCUGGAGAGAAGGGUAAUUCAUUAUUAUUAUU